AGAUCUAUUUCACCCGAGUGUUACUUAGGAAAACUGUUAUGACGGAAGCCAGGCAGGUGGAGUCUUUUGGUUCUAGUAGGUGGAUUUCUUUGCGAUCCUCCUCGGUCAUUGGGGUAUUUAUUAAGCAGCUACUGGAUGCUGCACUUCUGGGUGCUGGGUUAAAUCUUCAUGUUCUUUCCCAGGGAAGUCAGGAGCUUAACCUCCUGGUCCUGGGAAAGACACUCAGAUCUGAAAUACUCCUCUUUUACCCACCCUUAAAAACCAGCCACCCAGACAAUUGAACAAGGCCUCCAGCGCGGUUUUCUUAGGUAGCUUUCUGGGGUAUGACAUGAUCUGUGCUUCCCCAGGUGUGGUCCCCUGACCAGGAGCACCUGUAUCACCUGGGCACUUUGCAGGAAAUGCAGAUUCUGGCCCCACCCCCUUACUGAUUUGGGCCCACCGAAUCAGAAGCUCUGGAGAUGGGGCGCAGCGAUCUGUGCUUGAGCAAACCCACCACGUGACUCGGAUGCAUGCUAGAGUUUGAGAAGCCUCCAUGAACAGGUUCUCUUGGUGUGCUUUAAAGUGAUAACAGCUUUGCCUCGAAAAGCAGCUGGGUAGCAUUAAAAUACUUGAUGCCUCUCUUUCUCACCUGGAUGCACAUCAGAAUUACUUGAAGGUGGGGGAGGGGGUGGAAAUGUUAAAAAAAAUUCCUCUUGCUGAAGCUCCACCACAGACCAAUUUAAUCAGACCCUGCUGGGGUGGGACCUGGGCUUUUAAAAUUGUUAAUGGUGAUAUUUCUACAAGACUUAAAAGUUGGUUUGAAGACAUUUGGAUGAGGUGGGAAGGGAGAUUCUUUUCAUACGUGGUAUCAGGAUGCCGAGUAGCUGAUUCUAGAAGGCGGUCUCCGAUGUGCUUAUGGAUCACCUGGGAAUAUAGUUAAAACGCAGAUCCUGAUUCACUGGAUCUGGAAUGAGGCUUAUGAUUUGCAUUUCUCAUAAGCUCCCAGGAGACCCCAUUGCUGUUCUGCCCAGAGCACACUUUAAGCAGUGCUGAGUUUAGGACGUUUGCAAUGCUUGUAUUUUCUUUUUAAAUUGUUGAAAACGGCCCACUCUCUAGUUGCAACAUGUAUUUAUUAGAUUAGUUCUCUCAAAAAUCCUUUUGUGGAAGGAGAAGAGGUUGAGAGAAUAGGACGACUAUUUGCAGUCUGGGUCCCAAGGACCGUAUGUAGCUUUACACAAGUAACCCGUUACUCCCUGUCGACUCAGCCAUUUAACUCUGAAGUCGGUUCAGCUGAUAAAAAUCUCUUGCUCAGAGAAACCAUACAUACCAUACAUUUCUUCUUAUUAGAAUCAGGCGGUUACUGUUGCCGUGGUAAAAAUGUGAUGAGUCACAUUUUAAGUUGUACAAGAAAAUUUGGAAUUGUUUCACACGAGAAGAAACCCGUCGUGGUCUGGCGUGUUUUAAGGACUGUUGAAGAUUCGAAUACCCAAAGCCAGCAAAAGAAUGAGAGAGAGCACAUGAGAGUGGGGAGGGUCAGAGGGAGAAGCAGACUCCACGCCGAGCAGGGAGCCCGAUGCGGGACUCGAUCCAGGGACUCCAGGAUCAUGACCUGAGCUGAAGGCAGUUGCUUAACCAACUGAGCCACCCAGGCGCCCCUCACAACCAGUAUAUUUACCAGUAUAUUACUAUAUUUAUUUAUGUAUGUGUCCUUGUGUAUAACUGAAAUAAAUAACUAAACAACACUUUACUAAAAGGUGUGCAUGCUGAGAUUUUCCAUUCUUUAUUUUUUACAAAAAUGCUGGUCAUGGGUGAAGAGGGUCAAAAGGUACCAACUUCCAGUUAUAAAAUAAAUAAGACCUGUGAUGUCCUGUCCACCCCGGCCACUGUAGUUCAUGCUAUAUUUGAAAGUUGCUAAGAGUGUAGAUCUUAAAAGUUCUCACUAGAAAAAAAGAAUUUGUAACUAUGUAUGGUGAUGAGUGUGAACCAGACUUACUGUGGUGAUCAUUUCUCAAUAUAUAUAUGAAUGCCAGAUCAUUAUAUUGUAUACCUGAAACUAAUAUAAUGUUAUAGGUCCAUUAUAACUCCGUUUAAAAAAAUGCUGGUCAUGUUCCACUGACUUGAUUUUGGAUAUCCUGGGGCUGUCAUCCACAGUAAAAGAACUGUGUUAGCCCGAACUCAGAGACACGGAGUGCAGUGCUGGCUUCCAGGGGCUGAGGGGGGGAGAGAUGGGGAGAUGGUGGUCAGAGGGUGGAAACUUCCACUUACAAGGUGAAUGAGUUCUGGGGAUUGAAUGAACAGCAUGGUAAUUAUCGUAAACGUUGUAUUGUACACUUGAAAGUUGCAAAGGGAGUCUCAAAUGUUCUCAUUACAAAAAAGAAAGGGUAAUUAUGUGAGGUGAUACCAGUAUUAACUAACCCUUUUGUGGUAAUCAUUUCGCAAUAUAUAUGUAUCAAAGCAACACGUUGUAUACCUUAAACUUUUACACAAUGUUAUAGAUCAGUUAAAUGUCAAUAAAACGAGGAAAACAGACAGGGCUAGUGCUCUUUUUUUAAUGGUGCAAUAGCGCCACCUUGUGGGUUUAUCCCAAUUA
This is a long non-coding RNA of Mirounga angustirostris (Northern elephant seal), 2569 nucleotides long. RefSeq lists it as uncharacterized. The transcript has 2 exons. The record is from RefSeq and is a predicted model, not a curated record. NCBI's taxonomy places the organism in Eukaryota, Metazoa, Chordata, Mammalia, Carnivora, Phocidae.